Molecule: ribosomal RNA, 374 nt
Filed under: uncultured Myroides sp.
Lineage: Bacteria; Pseudomonadati; Bacteroidota; Flavobacteriia; Flavobacteriales; Flavobacteriaceae
Description: bacterial SSU rRNA
Rfam family: Bacterial small subunit ribosomal RNA
Source: RNAcentral
CAGCAGCCGCGGUUAUACGGAGCGAUCCGAGCGUUAUCCGGAAUUAUUGGGUUUAAAGGGUUCGUAGGCGGUUUAGUAGUCAGUGGUGUAUCUUGCAGCUUCAACUGUAAAAUUGCCGUUGAUACUGCUAUACUUGUAAUAGUAUGGAAGUAAUUAGUAUAUGUAGUGUAGCGGUGAGAUGCUUAGAUAUUACAUGGAAUACCAAUUGCGAAGGCAGAUUACUACGUACUUAUUGACGCUGAUGAACGAAAGCGUGGGUAGCGCAACAGGAUUAGAUACCCUGAGUAGUCCACGCCGUAAACGAUGGAUACUAGCUGUUCGGUCUUCGGAUUGAGUGGCUAAGCGAAAGUGAUAAGUAUCCCACCUGGGGAGUA